Non-coding RNA from Ameiurus melas (black bullhead), 76 nucleotides. The record is from the annotation of a GenBank genome assembly. Lineage: Eukaryota; Metazoa; Chordata; Actinopteri; Siluriformes; Ictaluridae.
GGGUGCAUGGUGGCUUAAUGGUUAGCACAUUCAUCUCAGACCUCCAGGGUUGAGGGUUCGAUUCCCACUGUGGCCC